AACAAAAAAAAGUAAUAUUUUGUACAAAACUUUGAAUAAGACGAGUGGUCAAACUUGAUAUUAAAAAAGUCAAACGACUUACAAUUUGGGAUGGAUUGAGUACAACAUUUGUAUAUAUGUCUGCAUGUUGGUGAGAUAGAGCACAAUCGUGGAUUUCUGAUGAGUGCAGUAGUGCGUACGCGUGCAGGAGGGACGGCGACGUUGUUAAUGUUAUCUGUAUCUGUAUGUAGGGCCAUUUUCACUCUGAAUCACUCGUGUGUCUCAACUAAAUGCAAUGCAAUGCAAGUUCGUUCAGUGCGCCUCCCUUUCUCGUCCAACUUUGUAGCGGCAGCACUCAGCUCGCGAAAAGAAGAACAAUUCCUUCCGCCUAGCCUACCAAGUGUGUGUUGAUAUCCUUGGUCACUACUCUAGUUUGGUUUCUUAUAUAUACCUGUCAGUGGUGGAGCCAGGAUUUCACAGCUGGGUAUUCCACGUAUAAAAAUUUUUCAAUGCAUAUGUGCAAUAAUAAUAGGGGAUAAAAUUAAUACAAAAUUAAUUCUGGUGCACAGCUCAAGUAGUACAUAUAAUUUCCUUAAAAUAUAUGCUAGGUAAAAUAUUUAUUUAUCCUGGUAACAAGGCAUCAGGCAAAGUGAGCCUAGUGUCGCCCCUGGUAAUAAUCAAAGUGUAUAUAAAUUCUUUAUCUAUGUUACAGGAACAUAAUGCAAUAUUUUUUUAAAAAAAAAUCAGAACGCAAAAAAAAAAGAAGAAAACGAAACCUUCAAUUCUUACUUUGAAGAAUAAAAAAUAGAUGUGGGAUCUUUAUGUUUACCUUGUUAUUGCUUCAAGCCGUAUAUGAGAAAGGCGUUGAGGGGGAGCCGUAUAUGAGAAAGCCUACAAAGACCACUGACCGCCGCCGCUAGAGGAAUGCCGUCGAUGGGGUUUGUUUCUGAUGAGUUCAUGGGUUGCCGCUACUAGUUGUUCUACUAGGCUUAGAGCAACUUCAAGAGUUUAACUAUUCUUGUUGUUUAUGCUAUUUUAGAAUUUGUAGCAAAAAGUAGACUCCAACUAAUAUGAUAUUUAAUUUUGUAAAUUAGGAAGUUAGCUUUCUCUUGAUUUUCAGUGGCUAUAUAUAGCUUAUUACAGACGCUAACUAUAAGACUUUGUAAAAUAACAAGAUUAUUGUAGAUCUCUUAUUUUUUUUAGAAAUUUUCUAUUCGACAAAAUAGCCAAACAAUAGAAUUUGACAAUUAAUUUUAGCCAGACUAUUGGAGUUGCUCUUAGAGCAUCUCCAAGAGAAUAGCCAAAAAGAUUAGCCAAAUUUACUGAUUUAGCUACUCUCUAAAAUAGAUUUGACAAAAAGAUAUUAGAGUACUCCAACAGACUCUAUAAAAGAAUGACUAGUGAGGUAGGCUAUCCAAAAGUAGAGAGCGAAUAAGGUGGGAUGAAGAGCUGCUAAAUUUGAAGAGUUAUUAAUAGAGUCAAACGUUUUUCCUUCAACAAUAGCCAAAUUUACCUUUAGAAAAUGAUUUGGCUAAUCUCUUGGAGAUACUCUUAUGGGCUACAUAUUUACAUCAUUCAACAAACUAACAUAUAUACUGAUUAUACAUGUGUAUAUAUACAUAUAUUUGUAUUUAUCACAAAAAUCAUGGGUAUUCCAUGGAAUACAGGGGCAUACCCCUGGCGCCGCCCAUGAU
Molecule: long non-coding RNA, 1673 nt
Filed under: Sorghum bicolor (sorghum)
Lineage: Eukaryota; Viridiplantae; Streptophyta; Magnoliopsida; Poales; Poaceae
Description: long non-coding RNA (SBIC_LNC011510)
Source: RNAcentral